CUUCCCAUUAUUUUCAGUGCUAAUCUCCUUUCCGCUACGAUAUAACCUAAAAGGCCUCUGUUCACACACACUCUCUCCCUCUAAAAAAGCCUUAGAACAAGACAACACCAUACCUCAAAAACCCACAAGCUUUUCUUUAUUUUAAGCUUUAUGGGACCUGUCUAUCAUGUGCUUGUCGGCAUAGAUCCCUUUUUUUCCUUCUUGUUUUACAUUUACCUCUCUCUCUCUCUCUCUCUCUCUCUCUCUCUCCCUUCCCAAUGUGUGAAAUUGAGUGCCUGCAGCUUUUUCUUAUAUAGGGUUUUGAUUGCACCUCUCUUUUGAAAGGUUUUGAUUGCUCAAUCACAAUUCACAAAUCCCCAAAACGCAGAGAUGGAGAGAAGAAAGUGGGGUGUUUGGAGUGAAGGCUGUUCCAAGAUCAACACCAGAUAGUUCCAUAAGUUUGCAUUUUCUUGAUUAAUGGAAUUAAUGGUCUCGGACCAGGCUUCAUUCCUCACGCUCCAAUUUCCAUCAAUGGAUGAACAAGAAACUACCUUCAUCAGCUGAAUUGGUCUUUUGAUCAAAUUGUUCGUCCGUUUAUCUCGUGUUCAGAUCAAUAAAAAACCAAGAAAAUAGCUGGUAAAUUUUGAUCUUCUGGUUACACAUUAAUUAUCUGAUGGAGACGAUAGCUAGGUUAACCAAGUAGCUGGUAAAUUAUAACUUACUUUAUUAGUUAAUCUAUAUUUUUCAAAAAUGUUCAUUAUUUUCAAUCUUCAAUCAGUAUAAACGCCUCGCUAGAUCUUACCACUUCACUUACUAUCAGCUAUUUGGCUGUACUUAAUAGCGCCUUUUUUUAGCUAUUUUUCUGGGAAACAUGUCUCUACAUGAUGCAGAUAAAAACAACUAAAAACUGUUUCUAAGCACAGCCAAAAAAGUAAGUUCGAAGUUUCAAUUAUAAUUAACAAUUUCCCUUCAACCUUAAUAGAUCAGAGAUUGAAUAUAUUUGCUUUUCUGUACUUUGUUUACUAGCCCAGAAUAUGCAUUUCUGACAGUCUUCCCUCUUUUCUCUUUUGAAGUUGGAAAUGUACAAAAAAUUAAAAUAGCCUGAAGAAUCCGCAUCUCUUUGUCUGUUGAUAUGACAUGCACAAGUCCUUUAGGAACAGUUACAUUCCAGAAAAAACUUUGAUUAUUAAUUGAUACUAUAAGAAACAAAUCAUAAAUUAAUUGUUUUGUCUCCCACAGUUUACAUAUGUAGCACUGCAGUUUCUGAUGAUGAAUAUUGAAGGAUUGUCCCUUGAAACUGUUUGCAUUGUAUGCUGAGUUUUGUACUUCAAAACUGUGCAAUAUGGUAGUGAUGGAGAGCAAGAUACAGAUACAGAUAAAGAUAGAGUUAGAAUUAUAAUAGAAUUUAAUUCCAAUUAGAUUAGAUAAGAUUAAUUUUGAUAUUUUUAUAUAAUUAUAGUCUAUUAUAAAUUUAUUUCCUUUUAGCCUUUUAGUUUAUUUGCUGUAUAAAAAUAGAGGGACUUAUUUAAUGAAAUAUUCAAUCGAUAAUUUUAUGAAUAAAAAAUAAUUUCUCUUCUUGCCCCCCUUUAUUUCUAUUCUUCUCUUCCCUUUCCCUUCUCCUAUAAUUUUUCUAUUGCAUCCUACGUAAAUUAGAGAUUCUGUUAAAAAGACUCUCUUUCGUGUUUUAUCGACACAUUUACUAGGGAGAAUAAUAUGCUGUCGGAAAGUCUAUUUAUUAGGACAAACAAAAUUUACGGAUCUCAAUUCGAACAAUCCUAUAUAAAUUUAUAGGUAUCUUUUUCCAUCAAGCUCUUCACUCCACUUGGAAAUGCUGGGAGUUUCCAUCUUUUUAUGUUCCAGGAGGGUUCUUAAGAUAUUUCGAAGUCUUAACAAUGAUCUUUUCCUAGAAAACUCAGUAUCUCAUUGGCGAAUUUCAUCGAGUUGUGUGUUUUUAGUCAUGUAUAUACCUUGUAUUCCUUUGGUCAAGACGAAUGUAUUGGUUGGUUAGCUAUUUUAUAACUUUAUUUCCUUCAAUCUUUUUUUAUCUAUCAUGUGACGUAAUUGGUGUAAGACUUUU
Molecule: long non-coding RNA, 2056 nt
Filed under: Olea europaea subsp. europaea
Lineage: Eukaryota; Viridiplantae; Streptophyta; Magnoliopsida; Lamiales; Oleaceae
Source: RNAcentral